This 460-nucleotide ribosomal RNA is filed under the name uncultured bacterium. Its description in RNAcentral is "partial 16S ribosomal RNA". It matches the Rfam family "Bacterial small subunit ribosomal RNA", at positions 338 to 795 of the family's 1533-position model. The record is from RNAcentral.
CCUACGGGGGGCAGCAGGGAGGAAUAGUGGACAAGGGGCGCGAGCCGGAACCAGCCAAGGAGCGUGAAGGAUGAAAGCCCUACGGGUGGUAAACUUCUGUUAUAAAGGAAUAAAGUGAGGCACGUGUGCCUUUUUGUAUGUACUUUAUGAAUAAGGAUCGGCUAACUCCGUGCCAGCAGCCGCGGUAAUACGGAGGAUCCGAGCGUUAUCCGGAUUUAUUGGGUUUAAAGGGAGCGUAGAUGGGUUGUUAAGUCAGUUGUGAAAGUUUGCGGCUCAACCGUACAAUUGCAAUUGAUACUGGCAGUCUUGAGUACAGUUGAGGUAGGCGGAAUUCGUGGUGUAGCGGUGAAAUGCUUAGAUAUCACGAAGAACUCCGAUUGCGAAGGCAGCUUACUAGACUGCCACUGACAUUGAUGCUCGAAAGUGUGGGUAUCAAACAGGAUUAGAUACCCGGGUAGUC